CGGACGGGUGAGUAACACGUGGAUAACCUACCUAUAAGACUGGGAUAACUUCGGGAAACCGGAGCUAAUACCGAAUAAUAUAUUGAACCGCAUGGUUCAAUAGUGAAAGACGGUUUUGCUGUCACUUAUAGAUGGAUCCGCGCCGCAUUAGCUAGUUGGUAGGGUAACGGCUUACCAAGGCGACGAUGCGUAGCCGACCUGAGAGGGUGAUCGGCCACACUGGAACUGAGACACGGUCCAG
This 241-nucleotide ribosomal RNA is filed under the name uncultured Staphylococcus sp. RNAcentral's name for it is "partial 16S ribosomal RNA". It matches the Rfam family "Bacterial small subunit ribosomal RNA", at positions 99 to 334 of the family's 1533-position model. The record is from RNAcentral. Lineage: Bacteria; Bacillati; Bacillota; Bacilli; Caryophanales; Staphylococcaceae.